RNAcentral lists this ribosomal RNA (275 nucleotides) under uncultured bacterium. RNAcentral's name for it is "partial 16S ribosomal RNA". It matches the Rfam family "Bacterial small subunit ribosomal RNA", at positions 523 to 796 of the family's 1533-position model. The record is from RNAcentral.
ACACGUAGGGAGCAAGCGUUGUCCGGAUUUAUUGGGCGUAAAGAGCUCGUAGGCGGUUUUGUAAGUCGGAUGUGAAAACUCAGGGCUCAACCCUGAGACGCCAUCCGAUACUGCAAUGACUAGAGUCCGGUAGGGGAGCAUGGAAUUCCUGGUGUAGCGGUGGAAUGCGCAGAUAUCAGGAGGAACACCAGUGGCGAAGGCGGUGCUCUGGGCCGGUACUGACGCUGAGGAGCGAAAGCAUGGGGAGCAAACAGGAUUAGAAACCCUAGUAGUCC